Molecule: non-coding RNA, 520 nt
Filed under: uncultured Glomus
Lineage: Eukaryota; Fungi; Glomeromycota; Glomeromycetes; Glomerales; Glomeraceae
Also listed under: 1 other name
Description: SSU rRNA
Rfam family: Eukaryotic small subunit ribosomal RNA
Source: RNAcentral
AGCAGCCGCGGUAAUUCCAGCUCCAAUAGCGUAUAUUAAAGUUGUUGCAGUUAAAAAGCUCGUAGUUGAAUUUCGGGGUUAGUAGGUUGGUCAUGCCUCUGGUAUGUACUGGUCUCACUGAUUCCUCCUUCCUGAUGAGCCGUAAUGCCAUUAAUUUGGUGUUGCGGGGAAUUUGGACUGUUACUUUGAAAAAUUAGAGUGUUUAAAGCAAGCUAACGCUUGAAUACAUUAGCAUGGAAUAAUGAAAUAGGACGUUCGAUCCUAUUUUGUUGGUUUCUAGGAUUGACGUAAUGAUUAAUAGGGAUAGUUGGGGGCAUUAGUAUUCAAUUGUCAGAGGUGAAAUUCUUGGAUUUAUUGAAGACUAACUACUGCGAAAGCAUUUGCCAAGGAUGUUUUCAUUAAUCAAGAACGAAAGUUAGGGGAUCGAAGACGAUCAGAUACCGUCGUAGUCUUAACCAUAAACUAUGCCGACUAGGGAUCGGAUGAUGUUAAUUUUUAAUGACUCAUUCGGCGCCUUAAC